AAAACGAACAAAAUUUGUAACACAUGUCAACACAAAUAAAUUACAUUUCAUUGAGAUUUAAUUUCGCCAGCCCCCUUUAGCGAGAAAACGGGGGGAGGUAUAAGGAUUGUUCUCUAUGGUUCGGUGGUGGCUUUUCAGCCUCAAAAACCGCCAACCAACUUUCGAUUCGGCUAGGAUUUCCCAAAGGAUAAGUAUUUACUCUCUGUGUGCAGCAGUAACGACAGCGGUAAGAACGUUUUUGAUGUUAAGCAACGAACGGAAGGACUAAAUCAAUGAAGGCGAAUCGAAUUUUCCACCCUCUCAUGUCCAAUGAGGCGCAGCUAAAUCUCUCAAGGGAUUGUUAAGUCGCAAGACAAGGCUCGACGUGGCACUUAUGCUUCUGUUGCGAUGUGCCAGCAAACUUUCUUACGACCUCGAAAGUUAUGGACAUAAAUCUAACAACGCGCGUUGAACAUUGGGUGGCUUUUGAAGGAGCAAAUCUCAAGUCCUCGAAGGAAGCUCCUUUUGUUUGUGUAAACUUUGAGAACAUCAUCUCUGACAAGUCGAAGUAGAAGUAGACUAAAAUCUGACAGACAGUUGGUCUUGGUGUUUUCAUUUAGUUCGCCACGGGGUAGUAGGAUAGUGAUGGUGGUGGUGGUUUGUUUUUUGGGUUUUGAAAACCCGGUCGGGCGUGCAAGGUAAUUACAAAUCUAUUACUGGUUCCUCGUAGAAGAGAUAUUGAAUUUCGCAUGGCAUACGGUCGAUGAUGUUGAUGUUGAUGGACUCGAAGAUGCGCUAUUCUAUUCCUGUUCUAUGAAGAGAGGAUUCCCAAGAGGCAGAAUAGCAAUUUCUGUGUUCAAUGCACAUCCUCUUUGGAAUUCAUUAUUGCGGUGGACUGGUCAUGUAAUAUUCCAUUUGUGGCAAAUAAUACGAAAGCUGUCUGUUUUUGAUGGAAGGUAUGUUAUAUGAAAGUAAAGGAAUAGAUAAUGAGUUCUCGAAAAAACCUAUACAUUCAACUAAAAUUGCAAUACAUUAUUUUGGAUAUAAUAUGUUUUUACUUAAUGUGUAAGUCUAAUGAGAAGGCGAUUUCAUUAUUAUUAAGUAAGACAACUUUGAAUGGUUCCAU
This is a long non-coding RNA of Episyrphus balteatus (marmalade hoverfly), 1105 nucleotides long. RefSeq lists it as uncharacterized. The transcript has 4 exons. Lineage: Eukaryota; Metazoa; Arthropoda; Insecta; Diptera; Syrphidae. The record is from RefSeq and is a predicted model, not a curated record.